This is a long non-coding RNA of Homo sapiens (human), 646 nucleotides long. RefSeq lists it as uncharacterized. NCBI's taxonomy places the organism in Eukaryota, Metazoa, Chordata, Mammalia, Primates, Hominidae. The transcript is spliced from 6 exons. The record is from RefSeq and is a predicted model, not a curated record.
CACAGCAAGAAGGCAGCCGUCUACAUGCCAGGAAGAGAGCCCUUAACAGGAACUGACCCUGCCAGACCUUUACCUGCAGCUUCCAGCCAAAAGAACUAUCAGAUUUAUUUGGAGAAAACAGAAAUCCCACAACCCAAAGGAUGGGAUUUUACAUCAAGACAUCUCCCAGGCUGACAUUUCUUGGCAACCUACGGAAGCUGUUCUGAUGAGCCUCUGUGUUAGUAAAGAAUACAUCUCUAUAAAUGGACUGCAGUACAGCUGACCUUGGACAGGCUUAUUUGGGCCUAACUGGGUUCUAAGCUUUCUGCUGGGUUCAGCUCUUUGUACUUCAGGCAACAACACCUGAGAGGAUUUUUCUGGCAGGCGAAAAAAUGUUUGCAAUGACUUUGAUGAUACGGUGACUGAGGUUUUGGCAGAAAUGUGAAUAUAAGCAAGCAUACUAUGAGAUACAUGAUCCAGUCACUGUAACCUUCUUUGGAACUAGUAUUGAUCCAGCAGCAGCUUUCAGUACUGAUCCUAAAAACAAAUAAUAUGAUCGGAUCAGAUCAUCACAAAGGGAGCAGGAAUUUGAAGGAUGUAUCUGGGUUAUUCAAACCGAAAACACCUAACUCCAGUUCAUUAAAAAUCAUUUCAUAUUUGUAUAAAA